RNAcentral lists this unclassified non-coding RNA (2145 nucleotides) under Leishmania donovani. Its description in RNAcentral is "gene:LdHU3.28.4030(CDS-product:hypothetical_prote in_conserved)". Lineage: Eukaryota; Euglenozoa; Kinetoplastea; Trypanosomatida; Trypanosomatidae. The record is from RNAcentral.
CAACUCUCCGCUGUCAUUGCCUCACAGACCUCGCCUUCCUUCAGGGAGCUCGUUGUUCAUUCCGGGUGGCAAUCAAGGUCCUGCGCCAGCCACAGCUCUUGGAAAGGAGGGAUAUACCCCCCCCCGCCUCCCCAACUCUCCCCAACAACAAUGCGCUCGUGCACGCAGGCAGAAAAGCGGAUAGCGAAGCUAGUAGAGCCGGAGGUGAGCUCAACAUCUUGGGGCAGCAGAGCAAGUCGAGCCACCACAUGCCUCGCACGGGCGAGUCUGCGGUCGCGAGGAACGCUCUGCAGGCAAUCGCGUCGCCGCUGCAAGAGCUAGAGGCGAAGUACGAAGCGGUGCUGGCGGAGAACGAGGACCUCAUCCACCAGCUCAGGCUGGAGCAGCUGCAGCGUCAGCGAUAUGAAAAGGCGUACCGUCGGGUGCAGGAAAAUGUGCAGAGCAACCGGCAAAGCCUUCAGCAAAUGUUUGCCCUGGCAGAGUCGUGUCCCGCGGGAGUUGGUCGGCACCAAGUCACGGGAGAUGCCACUGUCAUAACGACUUCAGCAGUCGGAAGCGAUGAUCAGCUCCCCAGAGCUGCCGGCAAUCCCACAACUUUCGGCACCGAUGAGAACGAGCGCGUGAGAAGACUGGAGCAGGAGUGCGCGUACCUGCAGGCAAAGGUGGAUAGCCUACGCAUUGCCUUUAGGCAGUAUGAGCGCGGAGGCGGAGAGGGCGCCGGCGACGGUUCGCCGCAUGAUACUUCGCCUUUCCGUCCUCGAGAGCAUGCGCAGCGCCACUGCGCUGACAACACCACGGGUUCUAAGGCACUAGAGGCGGAGCAAACGGGUCGCGCCCUCGCCGAAGAGCAGCUUAUUCGCUGCCACGCCACUUAGCGCUGUCUUCGCGAUGACGCUGCCCAGAAAGAGGUCUUCUUCCACGCCCAGCUUGCCGCCCUGCAGGCGCAGAACGCAGCGCUGCUCGAGGACUUGGACGCGCGGGUGACGGCGGGGCAACGGCUGAGCAUGUCAGCGGCAUUUUCUCGUCGUUUUGUAGCCUCUUCUCCAGGGACCCCGCUAGCGCCCGCAGCGACUUCUACCAGCUCACCAACGAACGCGAAGGCGAUGCGGACGCCCCCAAAUCACCAGAUGACUACCCCUUCUGUGGACUUCGUCGCCGAUCGCGUGGACGCGUCAGUGCCCCGUCAGCUAGAACGCCGGACGAAACGCCAGGAAGGUCUAGCGCGUGCCAAAGAUCGCACAAUCGUGCAGCCGGAGGGGCGAGCACGGGAGCUGGGGGACGCGCCAGCAGUCGCCGCGGCUGCAUCCGAGAACACCUCGUCGCAAGCAGCAACCGUCACGGUUUACCUCGACGAUCUCGAGCAGCUGCGCCGCGACGCACAUGCUCUGAAAGUGUUGGUGCAGCACCACAGAGCUGCACAGGCGGCACAUGGCUUAUUCACUCCAUCCAUCCCACCGACCCCCACCACCACCACUGCGGCAGCGCCGUCGGCUGUCUCCGACAUCAGCACAACUCUUCGCUUCGUGCGCGAAGCCCUGUCCUACGUGCUAAGCCACCCUUCAUGCGCUGCAGGCCCUUCAUCGACCAUGAGGGUGCUGCAGCCGACAACCGUAGCUGAGGGCUAUCGCAGCAGCGGCAUCCUUUCGGACGCGGCCAAAGAGCUCGCUGACCUCAUGCGGCGGUACGCGGCCUCUACGUGCCAUGACGGUCGCGUAUGACCGACCGAAUGAGAGAAAAUACAGGGUCAGUGAUUAAGGGGAACGGCGCCCUCUAAUUGCAUCCCGACCUCACCACCCGGCCCCUCAGCACACAGCUAGAGAAAGCAAUGUACACGGGCACACACAAAUGAGCCCAUGCAUGAGAUGGUCUCCUCAGUAUUCGACAUCCACUGCACUACACCCCGCCCCCGCCCUCCGAACGAACACCAUCAACUCACCGGCAUGCAGCGAAUCCUCAUGAUAAGUGUGUCGCUCUCCCUCGUCGAUGGCGGUGAAUACCUUAGCAGAAACGCUGCGAGCACAGUGUCGAAUCCAUCCAUGCAACAUAGUCGCACCCUCCGUCUCGCUCUCUAACCCAUUUCCGCUGCGUACUUCAACACCCCGUUAGCAUCCGCUACACAACGACGCUUUUCGAUAAAUCGCCUUC